UACGUAGGUGGCGAGCGUUGUCCGGAUUUAUUGGGCGUAAAGCGCGCGCAGGCGGUCGCGUAAGUCUGCUGUGAAAUCCCCGGGCUUAACCUGGGAACUGCAUUUGUGACUGCAUCGCUGGAGUGCGGCAGAGGGGGAUGGAAUUCCGCGUGUAGCAGUGAAAUGCGUAGAUAUGCGGAGGAACACCGAUGGCGAAGGCAAUCCCCUGGGCCUGCACUGACGCUCAUGCACGAAAGCGUGGGGAGCAAACAGG
This 253-nucleotide ribosomal RNA is filed under the name uncultured bacterium. RNAcentral describes it as "partial 16S ribosomal RNA". It matches the Rfam family "Bacterial small subunit ribosomal RNA", at positions 524 to 776 of the family's 1533-position model. The record is from RNAcentral.